RNAcentral lists this ribosomal RNA (253 nucleotides) under uncultured prokaryote. RNAcentral describes it as "partial 16S ribosomal RNA". It matches the Rfam family "Bacterial small subunit ribosomal RNA", at positions 524 to 776 of the family's 1533-position model. The record is from RNAcentral.
UACGUAGGGUGCGAGCGUUAAUCGGAAUUACUGGGCGUAAAGCGUGCGCAGGCGGUUCGCCAAGUCAGGUGUGAAAUCCCCGGGCUUAACCUGGGAAUUGCGCUUGAAACUAGCGGGCUUGAGUGCGGCAGAGGGGGGUGGAAUUCCACGUGUAGCAGUGAAAUGCGUAGAUAUCAGGAGGAACACCUGCGGUGUAGACGGCUUACUGGACGGUAACUGACGCUGAGGCACGAAAGCGUGGGUAGCAAACAGG